Long non-coding RNA from Vidua macroura (Pin-tailed whydah), 1428 nucleotides. RefSeq lists it as uncharacterized. The record is from RefSeq and is a predicted model, not a curated record. Lineage: Eukaryota; Metazoa; Chordata; Aves; Passeriformes; Viduidae. The transcript is spliced from 3 exons.
CUCUCCAAUGUACACUUAAUGGAUAUAACGUACUUCCCUUGCACCACCCCCCGCCUCAGCUUCAGCCUUCAAUCCCCCUUCACACGGGUAUAGUGGCUCUGUACUCAUGAGCUCUUUCAUGGCGGUUAAGCUGCUAAAAUGUACUGACAGCUUAAGAAAUGAAUGAGAAUUUUUUUUUCAGCCAUGAAGAAAGGGUAUUUAGUAACCACGCUUCGAUGGCAUCAUGCUUCCAUGAAACGAGUCCGGACACUUCGGUUUAACAAUCAGUAAUAUCACAUUCGGUACAGUAAAUGCUUCCAUAUACGCUUAUAUAAUUCUAUUCCCCCUUGACUAUAAGCUUGCCUUAUUUAUUCCAGGUUACCUGGGCAAUUAAGGUAAGGACUGCUCAGCAGAUACUGAUACCCUGCUGCUAAGGCAUGGCGAAUGGGGACAGAGCAGUGCGCUAACAAAGAGAGAGAGUUAGUCAAACAUUUUGAAGAGGGGUGAAUGGGACUGAAGGUGGAUGGAUGAAUGGAGGCAAAGAGGGAGAGGAAGAAGCAUUCAAUGGUCCAGACUUCUCUCUGCAUUUGUAGAUUUAAGUUUAGGUGUCCGCCUCUAGCCAGCUUCCAGUUAAUCCUCAACAGCUUCUAGUGAUUAGAAGUUAGUCUAUUUAGCAUGCUAUAUCCUUCUUCCAUAGGUUUUAGUUACAAGUUAUACGAUUAGGAUUGCGAGAACAGUAGUGAACUAAACUUCCCAGUAAGAGGUCUUCACACCAGGGAAGUGUUACUUUGCUGCAGCAGCCCUGCCUCGUCAGUCAUUAGGAAGCUGCAGGUUGUCAGAGGCUUCUCUUGCGCGCACACAAGCGCAGACACACACGCGCACACACACAAAACCACAGCACUAAAACUAAAUUAAGAAGCCGAUGAUUAAGACAAGCGUCUACAAGGCCUGUCAUUUCAGCAUCCUUCCAUCAUAACAUUGUGGCACCGAGAAAUUUGCUUGAAAACCCUGGAAAAAAAUGUCUAUGGGAGAGCCUCGUAUUUGAGGCUGUUAAUAUCAAAUAUAGACUGGGAUCUGCCUCGGAUGCAAGAUAGUAUUCCGCAGAGGAAAGGAGCACUGCAGAGACCUUGGUGCUAUCCGCGCAUUCCCGAAACUCUGGCGACUUCAAGCUAAUUUCUGUGGCUAUACUAGAGAGGGAAUCUGCAAAACAACAAGCGUGGUUCUCACUGAAGGAUUGAUUUGAUCGUCUCUGAAAAUGCAGAACAGCCCAUGGGAUCUCUCAUUUCCACCAACCGUGUGGAAGAUGCUUGCAGAGCAGCCCUGAAAACAAAACAACUUAGUUGAAGGCAGUUCGUGCAACAAUUGUGUCAUGGAAUACCUAGCAUUUCUUUAUCUGUAACUAAUUUAUUUAAUUUUGGAUAAUUCAAUAAAUGUCAGCUAUGCCAAGCA